This 72-nucleotide transfer RNA is filed under the name Phrynosoma platyrhinos (Desert horned lizard). Its description in RNAcentral is "tRNA-OTHER". Lineage: Eukaryota; Metazoa; Chordata; Lepidosauria; Squamata; Phrynosomatidae. The record is from RNAcentral.
GUCUGUGUGGUUUAGGGGUUUGAGUGCUGGACUACGGCUCUGGAGACCAGGGUUAGAUUCCCAGCCCAGCCA